This 197-nucleotide ribosomal RNA is filed under the name uncultured bacterium. RNAcentral's name for it is "partial 16S ribosomal RNA". It matches the Rfam family "Bacterial small subunit ribosomal RNA", at positions 328 to 539 of the family's 1533-position model. The record is from RNAcentral.
ACGCUCGACACCUACGGGAGGCAGCAGUGGGGAAUAUUGCACAAUGGGGGAAACCCUGAUGCAGCGAUGCCGCGUGAAGGAAGAAGUAUCUCGGUAUGUAAACUUCUAUCAGCAGGGAAGAAAAUGACGGUACCUGACUAAGAAGCCCCGGNUAACUACGUGCCACAGCCGCGGUAAUCUGAGCGGGCUGGCAAGGC